GACUAUGACCUUAUUAACUUGAACACACCUGAUCAUGAUUAAUUUCAGAAGCCAAGCACUUGGGAAUAGUUAGUACUUGGAUGGGGCCCUGGCUUCUAGUUGAAUAAUAUUGAAAACC
This 118-nucleotide ribosomal RNA is filed under the name Nannospalax galili (Upper Galilee mountains blind mole rat). The record is from RNAcentral. Lineage: Eukaryota; Metazoa; Chordata; Mammalia; Rodentia; Spalacidae.